This 219-nucleotide unclassified non-coding RNA is filed under the name Hevea brasiliensis (rubber tree). The record is from RNAcentral. Lineage: Eukaryota; Viridiplantae; Streptophyta; Magnoliopsida; Malpighiales; Euphorbiaceae.
UUGAAAUUAAUUUUUAUAGAUUAAAUAGUAAAUUUGCAACCUAAUUACAUAGUAAGUAAGUUUACAACCUAAACUAAUGAUAAAGCUUUCAAUCCUAGCCUUAGCAUCAAAGUCAAGAUAAUCAAGAAUCUCUUAGACACUCAUUUUGGUAGGAAUAAGGUUAGUUAUUUACGUACUAUCUUUUUAGUUAUUUUGGUUUUAAAUUGAUUAAUACUAAUG